This 425-nucleotide ribosomal RNA is filed under the name uncultured bacterium. RNAcentral's name for it is "partial 16S ribosomal RNA". It matches the Rfam family "Bacterial small subunit ribosomal RNA", at positions 354 to 796 of the family's 1533-position model. The record is from RNAcentral.
GUGGGGAAUAUUGGACAAUGGGCGAAAGCCUGAUCCAGCAAUGCCGCGUGAGUGAUGAAGGCCUUAGGGUUGUAAAGCUCUUUUACCAGGGAUGAUAAUGACAGUACCUGGAGAAUAAGCUCCGGCUAACUCCGUGCCAGCAGCCGCGGUAAUACGGAGGGAGCUAGCGUUGUUCGGAAUUACUGGGCGUAAAGCGCGCGUAGGCGGUACAUCAAGUCAGAGGUGAAAGCCCGGGGCUCAACCCCGGAACUGCCUUUGAAACUAGCGGACUAGAAUCUUGGAGAGGUCAGUGGAAUGCCGAGUGUAGAGGUGAAAUUCGUAGAUAUUCGGAAGAACACCAGUGGCGAAGGCGACUGACUGGACAAGUAUUGACGCUGAGGUGCGAAAGCGUGGGGAGCAAACAGGAUUAGAAACCCGGGUAGUCC